Molecule: small nucleolar RNA, 107 nt
Filed under: Olea europaea subsp. europaea
Lineage: Eukaryota; Viridiplantae; Streptophyta; Magnoliopsida; Lamiales; Oleaceae
Description: Plant small nucleolar RNA R71
Rfam family: Plant small nucleolar RNA R71
About the family: R71 is a member of the C/D box family of snoRNAs containing the C (UGAUGA) and D (CUGA) box motifs. Multiple nearly identical copies of this snoRNA have been identified in Arabidopsis, and it is thought to function as a 2'-O-ribose methylation guide for 18S ribosomal RNA.
Source: Rfam by way of RNAcentral
AUACCGUGAUGAGGACAUUUUCUAAGUACAUUCUUGAACCUAUUCCAAGCUUCAUCAAAGAAUUCAAAUUCAGCUUGAUGAACGAUAGAUAUGUCAUGCUUCAACCU